RNAcentral lists this ribosomal RNA (547 nucleotides) under Rhizopus delemar. RNAcentral describes it as "eukaryotic LSU rRNA". The stretch from base 158 to 311 matches the Rfam family "5.8S ribosomal RNA". The record is from RNAcentral. Lineage: Eukaryota; Fungi; Mucoromycota; Mucoromycetes; Mucorales; Rhizopodaceae.
GGGUAAGUGAUUGCUUCUACACUGUGAAAAUUUGGCUGAUAGACUCAGACUGGUCAUGGGUAGACCUAUCUGGGGUUUGAUCGAUGCCACUCCUGGUUUCAGGAGCACCCUUCAUAAUAAACCUAGAAAUUCAGUAUUAUAAAGUUUAAUAAAAAACAACUUUUAACAAUGGAUCUCUUGGUUCUCGCAUCGAUGAAGAACGUAGCAAAGUGCGAUAACUAGUGUGAAUUGCAUAUUCAGUGAAUCAUCGAGUCUUUGAACGCAGCUUGCACUCUAUGGUUUUUCUAUAGAGUACGCCUGCUUCAGUAUCAUCACAAACCCACACAUAACAUUUGUUUAUGUGGUAAUGGGUCGCAUCGCUGUUUUAUUACAGUGAGCACCUAAAAUGUGUGUGAUUUUCUGUCUGGCUUGCUAGGCAGGAAUAUUACGCUGGUCUCAGGAUCUUUUUCUUUGGUUCGCCCAGGAAGUAAAGUACAAGAGUAUAAUCCAGCAACUUUCAAACUAUGAUCUGAAGUCAGGUGGGAUUACCCGCUGAACUUAAGCAUAU